RNAcentral lists this ribosomal RNA (651 nucleotides) under uncultured fungus. RNAcentral describes it as "eukaryotic LSU rRNA". The stretch from base 220 to 373 matches the Rfam family "5.8S ribosomal RNA". Lineage: Eukaryota; Fungi. The record is from RNAcentral.
CAUUAUCGUACAAAAUGUGAGGGGCAUGUGAGGGCUGUCGCCGACUCAAAGUCGUGCACGCCCGAGCGUGUCCUCUCACAUAAUAAUCCAUCUCACCCUUUGUGCAUCGCCGCGUGGGCACCCUUCGGGAUCAUCUCGGAGGGGGCUCGCGUUUUCACACAAACCCCCCUUUUAAAAGUGUAGAAUGACCUCAUUUAUGCGCUAACCCGCAAUCAAUACAACUUUCAACAACGGAUCUCUUGGCUCUCGCAUCGAUGAAGAACGCAGCGAAAUGCGAUACGUAAUGUGAAUUGCAGAAUUCAGUGAAUCAUCGAAUCUUUGAACGCACCUUGCGCCCCUUGGUAUUCCGAGGGGCACACCCGUUUGAGUGUCGUGAAAACCUCAACCUCUUUGGUUUCUUCUGGAGACCAAAGCAGGCUUGGACUUUGGAGGCCUUUGCUGGCACCUCUCUCUUUUGAAGGUCAGCUCCUCUUAAACGAAUUAGCAGGGUCCUCUUUGCCGAUCCUCGACGUGUGAUAAGAUGUUUCCAUGUCUUGGUUUCUGGCUCUGUCACUUCUGGGACCCGCUUCUAACCGUCUUGACCUUGCGUCGAGACAAGUGCUCGAGCAUGUCUCCCUUCUUGGGAAGCUCCCUCGACCCCACGAACCCUUG